GCAGAACGCGAAGAACCUUACCAGGCCUUGACAUGCAGAGAACUUUCCAGAGAUGGAUUGGUGCCUUCGGGAGCUCUGACACAGGUGCUGCAUGGCUGUCGUCAGCUCGUGUCGUGAGAUGUUGGGUUAAGUCCCGUAACGAGCGCAACCCUUGUCCUUAGUUACCAGCACGUUAUGGUGGGCACUCUAAGGAGACUGCCGGUGACAAACCGGAGGAAGGUGGGGAUGGCGUCAAGUCAUCAUGGCCCUUACGGCCUGGGCUACACACGUGCUACAAUGGUCGGUACAGAGGGUUGCCAAGCCGCGAGGUGGAGCUAAUCUCACAAAACCGAUCGUAGUCCGGAUCGCAGUCUGCAACUCGACUGCGUGAAGUCGGAAUCGCUAGUAAUCGCGAAUCAGAAUGUCGCGGUGAAUACGUUCCCGGGUCUUGUACACACCG
This 439-nucleotide ribosomal RNA is filed under the name uncultured bacterium. RNAcentral's name for it is "bacterial SSU rRNA". It matches the Rfam family "Bacterial small subunit ribosomal RNA", at positions 954 to 1392 of the family's 1533-position model. The record is from RNAcentral.